Molecule: ribosomal RNA, 460 nt
Filed under: uncultured bacterium
Lineage: Bacteria
Description: partial 16S ribosomal RNA
Rfam family: Bacterial small subunit ribosomal RNA
Source: RNAcentral
CCUACGGGUGGCAGCAGUGAGGAAUAUUGGUCAAUGGACGAGAGUCUGAACCAGCCAAGUCGCGUGAAGGAUGACUGCCCUCUGGGUUGUAAACUUCUUUUAUAAAGGAAUAAAACGAGGCACGUGUGCCUUUUUGCAUGUACUUUAUGAAUAAGGAUCGGCUACCUCCGUGCCAGCAGCCGCGGUAAUACGGAGGAUCCGAGCGUUCUCCGGAUUUAUUGGGUUUAAAGGGAGCGUAGAUGGGUUGUUAAGUCAGUUGUGAAAGUUUGCGGCUCAACCGUAAAAUUGCAAUUGAUACUGGCAGUCGUGAGUACAGUUGAGGUAGGCGGAAUUCGUGGUGUAGCGGUGAAAUGCUUAGAUAUCACGAUGAACCCCGAUUGCGAAGGCAGCUUACUAAACUGUGACUGACAUUGAUGCUCGAAAGUGUGGGGAUCAAACAGGAUUAGAUACCCCUGUAGUC